This 458-nucleotide ribosomal RNA is filed under the name Milonia sp. H MG-2015. Its description in RNAcentral is "partial 16S ribosomal RNA". It matches the Rfam family "Bacterial large subunit ribosomal RNA", at positions 1827 to 2599 of the family's 2925-position model. Lineage: Eukaryota; Metazoa; Arthropoda; Arachnida; Araneae; Araneidae. The record is from RNAcentral.
CAUUUUUUACUGAUAUUUAUUGUAAAUAAUUCCUGCUCAAUGAAAUUUUUAAAUAGCCGCAGAAAUUUUACUGUGCUAAGGUAGCAUAAUCAUUAGCCUUUUAAUUGAAGGCUUGUAUGAACGGAAAAACAUUUCAUUAAUUUUAUUAUCUAAUUUUCUUUUAAAUUAAAUUAAGAAUAAAAAUGUUCUUAUUAUUUAAUUAGACGACAAGACCCUUUUGAACUUUACUUUUGUUUAGCUGGGGCAGCUAAAAAAUAAUAAUCUUUAUUAACCUUUUUUUUCUUAAAUAAAAGAUCCAAUAAAAUUGAUUAAAUGAACAAGUUACCAUAGGGAUAACAGCGUAAUAUUUUUUUAAAGUUCUUAUUAAAAAUAAUGAUUACGACCUCGAUGUUGAAUUAAUAUUUCUAUAAUUAUGCAAUAAUUUUUAUAGUUGGUCUGUUCGACCAUUAAAAUAUUAC